This 1401-nucleotide long non-coding RNA is filed under the name Equus caballus (horse). Its description in RNAcentral is "lncRNA (ENSECAG00000045029.1)". The record is from RNAcentral. Lineage: Eukaryota; Metazoa; Chordata; Mammalia; Perissodactyla; Equidae.
CCCAGUUUUGUUUGUGUUUUGUUUUCUUUUUCCAGAGACUACUACCAAUCUUGCUAAUGCGGUGUUUCUCACACUAAUGGUCCAAGGCCCAACUGCCUGAUUCACCUGAGCUGUGUGUAUAAAAUGGAAAUUUUUGCCUCCCCUGUCUCACUGCCAGACCUACUGAAUCAGAACCUCAGGGCAUAGAGUAAUCUGCACCGUCCUCAAGUACCCCAGGUGAUUCUUAUGCGCCCUCAGGUUUGAGAAAUCGUAGUUUAAUCUGCAGUGACAUUUUUGAGAAGAGAGCUCUUAGCAAGUAAUUUUGUUGAUCCCUGUCCAUCCCAACAUCCUCUAUCUGUGCUCUCUCUGUCCUUUCUUCCAUGUACACCUCCCAAAAGGAAAGGAUCCUGCUCAUUCCCAUCUCUGGAGGACAGAUCUCUACUAUCUACAGAGAAUUAGGAUAAUGGAAGCAGCAGUAAUUUCCAGAUUAGCCCUGAGCUAACUGCUGCUAAUCCUCCUCAUUUCUCUGAGGAAGCCUGGUCCUGAGCUAACAUCCGUGCCCAUCUCCCUCUACUUUAUACGUGGGACGCCUACCACAGGAUGGCAUGCCAAGCAGUGCCAUGUCCACACCCGGGAUCCGAACCAGCGAACCCCGGGCCUCCGAAGCAGAACGUGUGCAUUUAACUACUGCGCCACCAGGCCAGCACUAUUUAUAAUUUUUUAAAGAAAGGGAAGAGGAACCAGUACAAUCAAGGUCCAUUCUGAAUUCCAGCAGAAGAAUCGGGCAGAGGCUUUAGUGUUCAUAGCUGCAUUACUAUUGUAUUUCUUCAAUUCUAAGAUGCACAUUUUGUGGCAUUGUAAUGUUUCUAAAAUUGGGAUUGCAUCUUCUAAUCAAUGUACAAUUUAAUAUAGGAGGUUUUACCUCCUAGAAACAUCUUAUUAAAACAAAGAUAUGUCUUAAACUUGAUUGUGUCCCAGAAUCGAGGAAAUAAAGUAAUUAUGCUGCUGCCAUAGCAGACAUGACAGUUUUAAGACAAGAAUAGGUAAGCAACUAGGGAGUAGAGGCCAGGCCUUAGCAAAGCCACCAUGAUGGUCAUAACCUUAAAAGAUCAUGAGUUUUCUAUUAAUAGCUUCAUUGCCCCCAAGCCUCUGAAGCCUGUGGAUACAAGUAAGUCAAACUGCUUGGGCCCCACAUUUUGCUGGUUCUAAACCCUCAGUGCCGAAGCUUCAAGACUUCAGCCCCCGACCCCAGGUCUCCCCAGUGACUUCUGGGAAUCCUCUAUGCUCAGGGCCAGCCCUUCCAUUUGCUUCAGCUCUGUCCUUUCUGCAGAUGCCCUCUCUGUUCCCAGUGUAUCUCCUGGUACUAAAAAUCUGUGCAUCCUCCAGAUGUAAUUUCUUGCUAAAUCUUCAUGCUGAGUUAAG